This 1394-nucleotide ribosomal RNA is filed under the name unidentified. Its description in RNAcentral is "bacterial SSU rRNA". It matches the Rfam family "Bacterial small subunit ribosomal RNA". The record is from RNAcentral.
CCAUGCAAGUCGAACGGUGAAGCCAAGCUUGCUUGGUGGAUCAGUGGCGAACGGGUGAGUAACACGUGAGCAACCUGCCCUGGACUCUGGGAUAAGCGCUGGAAACGGCGUCUAAUACUGGAUAUGAGACGUGAUCGCAUGGUCGUGUUUGGAAAGAUUUUUCGGUCUGGGAUGGGCUCGCGGCCUAUCAGCUUGUUGGUGAGGUAAUGGCUCACCAAGGCGUCGACGGGUAGCCGGCCUGAGAGGGUGACCGGCCACACUGGGACUGAGACACGGCCCAGACUCCUACGGGAGGCAGCAGUGGGGAAUAUUGCACAAUGGGCGAAAGCCUGAUGCAGCAACGCCGCGUGAGGGAUGACGGCCUUCGGGUUGUAAACCUCUUUUAGCAGGGAAGAAGCGAAAGUGACGGUACCUGCAGAAAAAGCGCCGGCUAACUACGUGCCAGCAGCCGCGGUAAUACGUAGGGCGCAAGCGUUAUCCGGAAUUAUUGGGCGUAAAGAGCUCGUAGGCGGUUUGUCGCGUCUGCUGUGAAAUCCCGAGGCUCAACCUCGGGCCUGCAGUGGGUACGGGCAGACUAGAGUGCGGUAGGGGAGAUUGGAAUUCCUGGUGUAGCGGUGGAAUGCGCAGAUAUCAGGAGGAACACCGAUGGCGAAGGCAGAUCUCUGGGCCGUAACUGACGCUGAGGAGCGAAAGGGUGGGGAGCAAACAGGCUUAGAUACCCUGGUAGUCCACCCCGUAAACGUUGGGAACUAGUUGUGGGGACCAUUCCACGGUUUCCGUGACGCAGCUAACGCAUUAAGUUCCCCGCCUGGGGAGUACGGCCGCAAGGCUAAAACUCAAAGGAAUUGACGGGGACCCGCACAAGCGGCGGAGCAUGCGGAUUAAUUCGAUGCAACGCGAAGAACCUUACCAAGGCUUGACAUAUACGAGAACGGGCCAGAAAUGGUCAACUCUUUGGGACACUCGUAAACAGGUGGUGCAUGGUUGUCGUCAGCUCGUGUCGUGAGAUGUUGGGUUAAGUCCCGCAACGAGCGCAACCCUCGUUCUAUGUUGCCAGCACGUAAUGGUGGGAACUCAUGGGAUACUGCCGGGGUCAACUCGGAGGAAGGUGGGGAUGACGUCAAAUCAUCAUGCCCCUUAUGUCUUGGGCUUCACGCAUGCUACAAUGGCCGGUACAAAGGGCUGCAAUACCGUGAGGUGGAGCGAAUCCCAAAAAGCCGGUCCCAGUUCGGAUUGAGGUCUGCAACUCGACCUCAUGAAGUCGGAGUCGCUAGUAAUCGCAGAUCAGCAACGCUGCGGUGAAUACGUUCCCGGGUCUUGUACACACCGCCCGUCAAGUCAUGAAAGUCGGUAACACCUGAAGCCGGUGGCCCAACCCUUGUGGAGGGAGCCGU